Molecule: ribosomal RNA, 253 nt
Filed under: uncultured bacterium
Lineage: Bacteria
Description: partial 16S ribosomal RNA
Rfam family: Bacterial small subunit ribosomal RNA
Source: RNAcentral
UACAGAGAGUGCAAACGUUGUUCGGAAUUACUGGGCUUGAAGCGCACGUAGGCGGCGUUGUAAGUGUCGGGUGAAAUCCCACGGCUCACCCGUGGAACUGCCCGGCAUACUGCGAUGCUAGAGUGUGGUAGGGGAGAGCGGAACUCCUGGUGGAGCGGUGAAAUGCGUAGAUAUCAGGAGGAACACCGGUGGCGAAGGCGGCUCUCUGGUCCACAACUGACGCUGAGGUGCGAAAGCUAGGGGAGCAAACAGG